This is a small nuclear RNA of Myotis lucifugus (little brown bat), 170 nucleotides long. Its record names the gene U4. It matches the Rfam family "U4 spliceosomal RNA". From Rfam's summary of the family: U4 small nuclear RNA (U4 snRNA) is a component of the major U2-dependent spliceosome. NCBI's taxonomy places the organism in Eukaryota, Metazoa, Chordata, Mammalia, Chiroptera, Vespertilionidae. The record is from Ensembl.
AGCUUUACACAGUGGCAGUAUCGUAGCCAAUGAGGUUUAUCGAGGUGCAAUUAUUGCUAAUUGAAAAAAUAAAAAAUAAAUUAAUUAAAAUUAAACACAAUAGCUGCUUCAAAGCAAAAUUUAGUUUCUAAAGUAAAAUUCAGUUAAUCCUGUCAUAGAUGUCCAGAGGC